GGGAACCUGCCUCAAAGAGGGGGACAACAGUUGGAAACGACUGCUAAUACCGCAUAAGCCCACAGCUCGGCAUCGAGCAGAGGGAAAAGGAGUGAUCCGCUUUGAGAUGGCCUCGCGUCCGAUUAGCUAGUUGGUGAGGUAAUGGCCCACCAAGGCGACGAUCGGUAGCCGGACUGAGAGGUUGAACGGCCACAUUGGGACUGAGACACGGCCCAG
Molecule: ribosomal RNA, 216 nt
Filed under: uncultured bacterium
Lineage: Bacteria
Description: partial 16S ribosomal RNA
Rfam family: Bacterial small subunit ribosomal RNA
Source: RNAcentral